Molecule: ribosomal RNA, 483 nt
Filed under: Citrobacter freundii
Lineage: Bacteria; Pseudomonadati; Pseudomonadota; Gammaproteobacteria; Enterobacterales; Enterobacteriaceae
Description: bacterial SSU rRNA
Rfam family: Bacterial small subunit ribosomal RNA
Source: RNAcentral
AUUGAACGCUGGCGGCAGGCCUAACACAUGCAAGUCGAACGGUAGCACAGAGGAGCUUGCUCCUUGGGUGACGAGUGGCGGACGGGUGAGUAAUGUCUGGGAAACUGCCCGAUGGAGGGGGAUAACUACUGGAAACGGUAGCUAAUACCGCAUAACGUCGCAAGACCAAAGAGGGGGACCUUCGGGCCUCUUGCCAUCGGAUGUGCCCAGAUGGGAUUAGCUAGUAGGUGGGGUAACGGCUCACCUAGGCGACGAUCCCUAGCUGGUCUGAGAGGAUGACCAGCCACACUGGAACUGAGACACGGUCCAGACUCCUACGGGAGGCAGCAGUGGGGAAUAUUGCACAAUGGGCGCAAGCCUGAUGCAGCCAUGCCGCGUGUAUGAAGAAGGCCUUCGGGUUGUAAAGUACUUUCAGCGAGGAGAGAAGGCAUUGUGGUUAAUAACCGCAGCAAUAGACGUACUCGCAGAAGAAGCCCCGCAAUC